Non-coding RNA from Pelobates cultripes (western spadefoot toad), 203 nucleotides. The record is from the annotation of a GenBank genome assembly. NCBI's taxonomy places the organism in Eukaryota, Metazoa, Chordata, Amphibia, Anura, Pelobatidae.
CACUCUUGCGACUUGUUUUUUGUUCUCCACAAUUUUAAAGGGUAAUCCAGACGUGGACCCCUUGCUCACAGUGCCUAGAGAGAUAUCAGCUAUGCCUCACUGAUGAUGCCUAACAAGGUUGAAACGAUCGUCCGGGGUUGCUGUAUCUCUCGUGCAGAGGGAAUUUGCUGGCAUUUCGGAUCUGGACUGCCCGUAUGGGUGGG